UAAGCUCAAUUAACUGUUUGCAG
This 23-nucleotide microRNA is filed under the name Drosophila ananassae. Its description in RNAcentral is "Dan-Mir-1007_3p (mature (guide))". The record is from RNAcentral. RNAcentral also lists the same sequence under 4 other names. Lineage: Eukaryota; Metazoa; Arthropoda; Insecta; Diptera; Drosophilidae.